This 437-nucleotide ribosomal RNA is filed under the name uncultured bacterium. Its description in RNAcentral is "partial 16S ribosomal RNA". It matches the Rfam family "Bacterial small subunit ribosomal RNA", at positions 29 to 507 of the family's 1533-position model. The record is from RNAcentral.
AGCGAACGCUGGCGGCAGGCUUAACACAUGCCAGUCGAGCGGGCAUCCUUGUGGUGUCAGCGGCAGACGGGUGAGUAACGCGUGGGAACGUGCCCUUCGGUUCGGAAUAACUCAGGGAAACUUGAGCUAAUACCGGAUACGUGCGAGAGCAGGAAGGUUUAUCUGCCGAAGGAUCGGCCCGCGUCUGAUUAGCUAGUUGGUGAGGUUACGGCUCACCAAGGCGACGAUCAGUAGCUGGUCUGAGAGGAUGAUCCGCCACACUGGGACUGAGACACGGCCCAGACUCCUACGGGAGGCAGCAGUGGGGAAUAUUGGACAAUGGGGGCAACCCUGAUCCAGCCAUGCCGCGUGAGUGAUGACGGCCUUAGGGUUGUAAAGCUCUUUUCUCCGGGACGAUAAUGACGGUACCGGAUGAAUAAGCCCCGGCUAACUUCGUG